GACGAACGCUGGCGGCGUGCCUAAUACAUGCAAGUAGAACGCUGAAGAGAGGAGCUUGCUCUUCUUGGAUGAGUUGCGAACGGGUGAGUAACGCGUAGGUAACCUGCCUUGUAGCGGGGGAUAACUAUUGGAAACGAUAGCUAAUACCGCAUAACAAUGGAUGACACAUGUCAUUUAUUUGAAAGGGGCAAUUGCUCCACUACAAGAUGGACCUGCGUUGUAUUAGCUAGUAGGUGAGGUAAUGGCUCACCUAGGCGACGAUACAUAGCCGACCUGAGAGGGUGAUCGGCCACACUGGGACUGGGACACGGCCCAGACUCCUACGGGAGGCAGCAGUAGGGAAUCUUCGGCAAUGGGGGCAACCCUGACCGAGCAACGCCGCGUGAGUGAAGAAGGGUUUCGGAUCGUAAAGCUCUGUUGUAAGUCAAGAACGGGUGUGAGAGUGGAAAGUUCACACUGUGACGGUAGCUGACCAGAAAGGGACGGCUAACUACGUG
This 497-nucleotide ribosomal RNA is filed under the name uncultured bacterium. RNAcentral's name for it is "partial 16S ribosomal RNA". It matches the Rfam family "Bacterial small subunit ribosomal RNA", at positions 28 to 507 of the family's 1533-position model. The record is from RNAcentral.